RNAcentral lists this long non-coding RNA (419 nucleotides) under Anser brachyrhynchus (Pink-footed goose). Its description in RNAcentral is "lncRNA (ENSABRG00000008252.1)". Lineage: Eukaryota; Metazoa; Chordata; Aves; Anseriformes; Anatidae. The record is from RNAcentral.
CUUUCAUCCUUGUGUUCAGACACAGCCAUUUUGAUAGGUCUCCUCCACCUUUAUUUGAAAGUGCUGAACUGACACUUUUCCCAGCUGUGAAGAGCAACAGUCACGCAGGGUAAGAUGCCUUCCCUCAACCAAUGCAAAAGGGAACAAAGCUCUGAUCAGCAGAGGGACAAAAGUUUCUGUCAAUAUCUGUCAUAGGAACACCUGUUAAAUGGCCCUUAAAGAGGACUUUCACAACUUGAGCUGGAAGCACAAAGCCAAACAUAGCAGGAGGCAACUACAAUGCUCUGCUGCUAAUCUGAGAGAAAAGGUCCUACCAGGAGAGACAUCAGAGUAGCAGACAACCUUUGAACCUCUGAAGUAGCUUCCAGUCCUACUAUUGCCACCAGGAAUAAAAUUUAGCACUGCUGUGGAUUUGGCCA